This 70-nucleotide small nuclear RNA is filed under the name Mustela putorius furo (domestic ferret). RNAcentral describes it as "U4 spliceosomal RNA". It matches the Rfam family "U4 spliceosomal RNA", at positions 1 to 73 of the family's 138-position model. Rfam says of the family: U4 small nuclear RNA (U4 snRNA) is a component of the major U2-dependent spliceosome. The structure of U4 snRNA from yeast and human has been reported. U4 snRNA presents a k-turn RNA motif in the 5p-SL related to recognition of Snu13 protein. The record is from Rfam by way of RNAcentral. Lineage: Eukaryota; Metazoa; Chordata; Mammalia; Carnivora; Mustelidae.
GGCUUUCCGCAGUGGCAUCGUAGCCAGUGAGGUUUAUCCGAGGCGCGAUUGUUGCUAAUUGAAAAUACAC